GCUAAACGCUGGCGGCGUGUCUUAGCCAUGCAAGUCGAGCGGACUUAUGGGGUAACUUAUAAGUCAGCGGCGGACGGCGGAGUAACACGUAGCUAACCUACCCUCUGGACGGGGGAUAACCUACCGAAAGGUGGGCUAAUACCCGAUGUAGUCAUCCUGUAUAGGGGUGAUGAAAGGUGGGCUUCUGUUUACAAGCUCAUGCUGGAGGAGGGGGCUGCGGCCUAUCAGGUAGUUGGUAGGGUAAUAGCCUACCAAGCCGAUGACGGGUAGCCGGCCUGAGAGGGUGACCGGCCCGAGGGGCACUGAGAUACGGGUCCCACUCCUACGGGAGGCAGCAGGCUAGAAAUUUGGGCAAUGGGGGAAACCCUGACCCAGUGACGCCGCGUGCAGGAAGGAGCCCUUCGGGGUGUAAACUGCUGUCGUGUAGGGAGAAGGGUACUAAGGUGAACAAUCUUAAGUACUUGACGGUACUACAGGAGGAAGCCCAGGCUAACCUCGUG
Molecule: ribosomal RNA, 500 nt
Filed under: uncultured bacterium
Lineage: Bacteria
Description: bacterial SSU rRNA
Rfam family: Bacterial small subunit ribosomal RNA
Source: RNAcentral